AAAUGGAUUUGAUUUGUUAUAAAUAGAAGAGAAAACCUGACCUUCAGCCCCAGGCAUUAGCAAUGUGAGAAAACUGAAAAAGGAGUUGUGGAAAUGGCAGGAAAUCAUGGAUCCAGUGACAGAGAACUCAUUGCCCUCCCUAGACGUGAAAAAAAUGAGACAACUGAGUCAGAAUGGACUGAGAGCUCCCACUUCAUCCUCUUGGUACCUAAAUCUCUUCUAGUGAAAGUGCAAAGCCACUGGUCAGCUUCAGCCACACCAAACCAAGAGGUAAAUGUCUAACAGCUGCUGAGCUCAUGUGCGUCUUCCAGGAAAGCAGGCAGCGAAGGAGAGGCUGGAUCCAUUGCCACCCAAAGGAAAGGAUGGAGCACGAGCUUCACCUGCAUUAGACUGCAGCAAAUGGUAAGGAGCUGCUAUCAAUGCUCUGCCCACAUGGGGACUAAACCUGACUGAACCUCAGCUGUUUCUAGACAUCAA
Molecule: long non-coding RNA, 477 nt
Filed under: Calidris pugnax (ruff)
Lineage: Eukaryota; Metazoa; Chordata; Aves; Charadriiformes; Scolopacidae
Description: lncRNA (ENSCPUG00000018375.1)
Source: RNAcentral